UACGUAGGGGGCGAGCGUUGUCCGAAGUUACUGGGCGUAAAGCGCGCGUAGGCGGGGGGUUAAGUGAGAGGUGAAAGGCCGGGGCUCAACCUCAUGCAGUGCCUCUCAUACUGGCCUUCUUGAGGGCGGUAGGGAGAAGUGGAAUGGCUGGUGUAGCGGUGAAAUGCGUAGAUAUCAGUCGGAACACCGGUGGCGAAGGCGGCUUCUUGGGCCGUUCCUGACGCUGAUGCGCGAAAGCUGGGGGAGCGAACGGG
Molecule: ribosomal RNA, 254 nt
Filed under: uncultured bacterium
Lineage: Bacteria
Description: partial 16S ribosomal RNA
Rfam family: Bacterial small subunit ribosomal RNA
Source: RNAcentral